UGGGGAAUUUUGGACAAUGGGGGAAACCCCUGAUCCAGCCAUCCCGCGUGUGCGAUGAAGGCCUUCGGGUUGUAAAGCACUUUUGGCAGGAAAGAAACGUCGCGGGUUAAUACCCCGCGAAACUGACGGUACCUGCAGAAUAAGCACCGGCUAACUACGUGCCAGCAGCCGCGGUAAUACGUAGGGUGCAAGCGUUAAUCGGAAUUACUGGGCGUAAAGCGUGCGCAGGCGGUUCGGAAAGAAAGAUGUGAAAUCCCAGAGCUUAACUUUGGAACUGCAUUUUUAACUACCGGGCUAGAGUGUGUCAGAGGGAGGUGGAAUUCCGCGUGUAGCAGUGAAAUGCGUAGAUAUGCGGAGGAACACCGAUGGCGAAGGCAGCCUCCUGGGAUAACACUGACGCUCAUGCACGAAAGCGUGGGGAGCAAACAGGAUUAGAUACCCUGGUAGUCCACGCCCUAAACGAUGUCAACUAGCUGUUGGGGCCUUCGGGCCUUGGUAGCGCAGCUAACGCGUGAAGUUGACCGCCUGGGGAGUACGGUCGCAAGAUUAAAACUUAAAUGAAUUGACGGGGGUCAUAGCUGUUUCCCU
RNAcentral lists this ribosomal RNA (588 nucleotides) under uncultured bacterium. RNAcentral's name for it is "partial 16S ribosomal RNA". It matches the Rfam family "Bacterial small subunit ribosomal RNA", at positions 355 to 1376 of the family's 1533-position model. The record is from RNAcentral.